GUUGAAAAGAACUUUGAAGAGAGAGGUUCAAGAGUACGUGAAACCGUUCAGGGGUAAACCUGAGAAACCCAAAAGAUUCGAAUGGGGAGAUUCAGCGUUCAACGAUUUGUCUGGCUUCCGUGUGGCUCGCGAUGUUAAGGAGCUCGGUGUCGCGUUCGCGGCGUGGCAUCGUCGCGCUUGAUUACGCAGUUCGCUGCGGUAUGACCGGCAUCGUCGGCGUGCACUUCUCCCCUAGUAGGACGUCGCGACCCGUUUGGGCGUCGGCUUAAGGCAGCGAACGGUAGACUGUUGGGAGCCUUUCGGGGCUUUUUGGCAGACCGAUUCGAUCAAACUGGCCCGGCCGACUGCUCGGCGGUAUUGAACUUUAACCAAUGGUAUCGAGCCGCAUCGAAUGCGUUCGACUCGUCGGCAGGCUCGCCUCACUCGGCUUUUAACGGACCUAGUGCCGUAGCUGGGUGCUUGGUGUGGCUGUUUAGCCGGCGAUGAUCUCGAACUGGCUCCGUAUUACCUGUCGGCGACGC
This 521-nucleotide ribosomal RNA is filed under the name Syrphophagus aphidivorus. RNAcentral's name for it is "LSU rRNA". The record is from RNAcentral. Lineage: Eukaryota; Metazoa; Arthropoda; Insecta; Hymenoptera; Encyrtidae.